Molecule: non-coding RNA, 644 nt
Organism: Pelobates cultripes (western spadefoot toad)
Lineage: Eukaryota; Metazoa; Chordata; Amphibia; Anura; Pelobatidae
Source: the annotation of a GenBank genome assembly
AGAAGAGGGCGGCACUUCAAUCAGCAGUAUAGAAGAAGGUGGCACUUCAAUCAGCAGUAUAGAAGAAGGUGGCACUUCAAUCAGCAGUAUAGAAGAGGGCAGCACUUCAAGCAGCUACUUAAAAACAAAGUUAACAUCUGGGAUCUAUAGACAGGCAGCUUCCUAUGUUGUACUCAAUAGAUACCUAGAGAAUCUCAAUGCACAUUGACAAGCUUGUGUAUGGAGGAUCCAAUGUCUUGGGGGACCUUCAAGAGACUUACAUUUUCCACAAUAAUGGACUGGUAGAUGUCACUAGGACCUGAAGAUGGAGUCCAACAGAAACAAGGACAGAGAGGUUUAGGUAAGUAUAUGUGCCUUUCUCAUACCCCCCCUGUGGCAACCACAGAAGUGGAAAUGUUUGUUGCCUUGUGGGUCCUUGCAAUAAAAAAAUGACCGCACAAGGGUAGUUUCCACUUUAAUGCUACUGCUACUCUAUGGUAGAAGGAAAUACACAUCGUCUCAGCUUCCUUUUUCUCUCUAUUAUUCUCAGAUUUUUAGCUGUAAAAUAUGAUCUGUUUUAAUCCAGUGCCCAAUCUCCUGUAGCAAAGUUAAGCAUCCUGCAAGUAUUGUAAUUCUAAGAUUUUCCCGGAAAAAUAAAACAUUUC